This 506-nucleotide ribosomal RNA is filed under the name uncultured bacterium. Its description in RNAcentral is "partial 16S ribosomal RNA". It matches the Rfam family "Bacterial small subunit ribosomal RNA", at positions 29 to 523 of the family's 1533-position model. The record is from RNAcentral.
AGUGAACGCUGGCGGUAGGCCUAACACAUGCAAGUCGAACGGCAGCACAGAGGAGCUUGCUCCUUGGGUGGCGAGUGGCGGACGGGUGAGGAAUACAUCGGAAUCUACUCUGUCGUGGGGGAUAACGCAGGGAAACUUACGCUAAUACCGCAUACGACCUACGGGUGAAAGCAGGGGAUCUUCGGACCUUGCGCGAUUGAAUGAGCCGAUGUCGGAUUAGCUAGUUGGCGGGGGAAAGGCCCACCAAGGCGACGAUCCGUAGCUGGUCUGAGAGGAUGAUCAGCCACACUGGAACUGAGACACGGUCCAGACUCCUACGGGAGGCAGCAGUGGGGAAUAUUGGACAAUGGGCGCAAGCCUGAUCCAGCCAUACCGCGUGGGUGAAGAAGGCCUUCGGGUUGUAAAGCCCUUUUGUUGGGAAAGAAAUCCAUCUGGUUAAUACCCGGGUGGGAUGACGGUACCCAAAGAAUAAGCACCGGCUAACUUCGUACCAGCCGCCGCGGUAA